GACGAACGCUGGCGGCGUGCUUAACACAUGCAAGUCGAACGAUGAAGCCGGAGCUUGCUCUGGUGAAUUAGUGGCGAACGGGUGAGUAACACGUGAGUAACCUGCCCUUGACUCUGGGAUAACUGCGGGAAACUGUAGCUAAUACCGGAUACGACCCUCGGAGGCAUCUCCUGGGGGUGGAAAGAAUUUCGGUCAAGGAUGGACUCGCGGCCUAUCAGCUAGUUGGUGGGGUAAAGGCUCACCAAGGCGACGACGGGUAGCCGGCCUGAGAGGGUGACAGGCCACACUGGGACUGAGACACGGCCCAGACGCCUACGGGAGGCAGCAGUGGGGAAUAUUGCACAAUGGGCGCAAGCCUGAUGCAGCAACGCCGCGUGAGGGAUGACGGCCUUCGGGUUGUAAACCUCUUUUAGCAGGGAAGAAGCGAAAGUGACGGUACCUGCAGAAAAAGCACCGGCUAACUACGUGCCAGCCGCCGCAGUAA
Molecule: ribosomal RNA, 484 nt
Filed under: uncultured bacterium
Lineage: Bacteria
Description: partial 16S ribosomal RNA
Rfam family: Bacterial small subunit ribosomal RNA
Source: RNAcentral